Molecule: non-coding RNA, 156 nt
Filed under: Streptomyces fradiae
Lineage: Bacteria; Bacillati; Actinomycetota; Actinomycetes; Kitasatosporales; Streptomycetaceae
Also listed under: 1 other name
Description: SAM-I sequence
Rfam family: SAM riboswitch aptamer (S box leader)
About the family: The SAM riboswitch is found upstream of a number of genes which code for proteins involved in methionine or cysteine biosynthesis in Gram-positive bacteria. The SAM riboswitch acts at the level of transcription termination control.
Source: RNAcentral
CGCUCAUCCAGAGGGGCAGAGGGAACGGCCCGUUGAAGCCCCGGCAACCCUCCCGCCGGUCUCGGUCCUCCGACGCACAGCGUCCGGAGCGAGGCUCCCGGUGGGGAAGGUGCCAAUUCCGGCUCACGGCGAGGUACGCCGUGAGGAAGAUGAGGA